RNAcentral lists this non-coding RNA (28 nucleotides) under Cricetulus griseus (Chinese hamster). Lineage: Eukaryota; Metazoa; Chordata; Mammalia; Rodentia; Cricetidae. The record is from RNAcentral.
CAGUGAUCGGUGUCAGAGAACUCUGCCC